RNAcentral lists this long non-coding RNA (352 nucleotides) under Ictidomys tridecemlineatus (thirteen-lined ground squirrel). RNAcentral's name for it is "lncRNA (ENSSTOG00000034293.1)". Lineage: Eukaryota; Metazoa; Chordata; Mammalia; Rodentia; Sciuridae. The record is from RNAcentral.
UAUCUGGAGACAGGACCUUGCCAAGUUGCUGAACUCAGGAUCCUCCUGACUCAGCCUCCCAGACCAGGAGAAGAACCAGAGGAAGGUCCCGGUCACAGCCUGGGAAGGUGUUUGUCACCAUGAGGGCGCAGGCCCUGGGAACCCAGUGAGCCAGACACGGCACCGUCCUCUGGGGGCCAGACCAGGACGAGAGCUCUGCAGAGGGUCAGCCCACGGAGCUCAGAUCCCAGGAGGGCAGGUUGUGUCCCUGGGGCCACAGUUGCCGGGCCAACACGGCCAGGUCAGUGGGCCUCUGUUUCUGCCUCUUUCCCGCGGUCCACCGGGCUGGGCUGUGCCGUGCUGUGUUUUCCCG